RNAcentral lists this long non-coding RNA (329 nucleotides) under Vigna radiata. RNAcentral describes it as "long non-coding RNA (VRAD_LNC007916)". The record is from RNAcentral. Lineage: Eukaryota; Viridiplantae; Streptophyta; Magnoliopsida; Fabales; Fabaceae.
GGGACCACAUUAAAGGCAACAAAACACACAGUAAGGGACCACAACAGAACAAUAUCAGGGGACAAAAAGACAACGUACUACCAUGGGGGACCCCAACAACAUAAAAUAAGUGAUCAAAAACGCACCUUUCAACUUUUCUUUUCGAACGAAGUCCUCGCUGACGAACUACGCUUCCAAGGAAGUCGCUCCCCACCACAAACGCUGACAAUGCUCCUUUCGACACCAAUCUCCUUCGAAGCAACCAAUCUCCGUCUCAAAGAAUCACACAACGAACACUACGUACCAAUUCCCCAACCCUCGAGAAAUAUAAUCCCCAAUUUCACUCUCUG